GAAAUAUUUGUGUUAACAGAUCAGUUCAGAUCUUUCAUCUGCAACACAUCUAGAUGUUGUGUAAUCCUUUCUGUUUUUGGGGUUGUUUUUUUUGAGGAAAUUCAUAUUUCUCAGCUUAUUUGCAAGUUUUUUUUUUGGUAAAAAUGUGUAAAACAAUGAGCAUUGAAAUAUCCAUGUGUGACACCAUUCUGUCUUUCUCUACAGCAUGUGCAUGGAGAUGCUACCAACGUUCAGGGGCAACCCGCACAAGGUAACUUGUCCGACUGUGCCCCUUGCCCCCCUUGACCGUUGUGCCACCACUGAUGUGAACGGUGUCAUUGUCAAGUCCUGCGUGAACAUUAAUGUGUGUGUUGGCCCCAUAAAGCGCUGUUGCACAGACUUGUGCAACAGCGCCGUACCCACUGGUUCCAGUGUCCUCCUCCAGCUGGUGUCCUCAGCCAACAUCACAGUCUUCCUCUGAGGCGCUGCAGCAGCUACAGCUUCACUAUAUCAGUCUCCUUUAAUUACCCAAUUUGUAACUCUGGGAGAAUAAACAAAAUGUUGAUGUGUAAAAUCUGUGAAUGACUGCAGGUCAAUAUUUGUAAUAAAAAAACACAAUUUGAUCGAUCA
Sebastes umbrosus (honeycomb rockfish) is the source of this 609-nucleotide long non-coding RNA. RefSeq lists it as uncharacterized. NCBI's taxonomy places the organism in Eukaryota, Metazoa, Chordata, Actinopteri, Perciformes, Sebastidae. The record is from RefSeq and is a predicted model, not a curated record. The transcript has 2 exons.